GUUUGAGUAGCUUAAAUAUUAAAGCGCAACACUGAAGACGUUGAUAUGGCAUAGCAGCCCACAGACA
Molecule: transfer RNA, 67 nt
Filed under: Microcaecilia sp. PZ-2009
Lineage: Eukaryota; Metazoa; Chordata; Amphibia; Gymnophiona; Siphonopidae
Description: tRNA-Phe
Source: RNAcentral